RNAcentral lists this ribosomal RNA (443 nucleotides) under uncultured bacterium. RNAcentral's name for it is "partial 16S ribosomal RNA". It matches the Rfam family "Bacterial small subunit ribosomal RNA", at positions 338 to 795 of the family's 1533-position model. The record is from RNAcentral.
CCUACGGGUGGCAGCAGUGGGGAAUAUUGGGCAAUGGAGGCAACUCUGACCCAGCAAUGCCGCGUGAGUGAUGAAGGUAAUUUUAUUGUAAAGCUCUUUUCUUUGGAACGAAUAAAUGACGGUACCAAAGGAAUAAGCACUGGCUGACUACGUGCCAGCAGCCGCGGUAAUACGUAGGGGGCAAGGGUUGUUCGGAAUGACUGGGCUUAAAGGGUGUGUAGGGGGUUGGAGAAGUUAGAUGUGGAAUACCCAGGGCUUAACUCGGGUGCUGCAUCUAAUACUGUUCGACUUGAGUACUGGAGAGGAUAGUGGAAUGCCUGGUGUAGCGGUGGAAUGCGUAGAGAUUAGGAGGAACAUCAGUGGCGAAGGCGACUAUCUGGACAGCAACUGACGCUGAGGCACGAAAGCGUGGGGAGCAAACAGGAUUAGAUACCCCUGUAGUC